Molecule: ribosomal RNA, 805 nt
Filed under: uncultured archaeon
Lineage: Archaea
Description: bacterial SSU rRNA
Rfam family: Archaeal small subunit ribosomal RNA
Source: RNAcentral
UGUAGUAAUACAAGGCAGACGGCUCAGUAACGCGUAGUCAACCUACCCUAUGGACGGGGAUAACCUCGGGAAACUGAGAAUAAUACCCGAUAGAACAUUAUGCCUGGAAUGGUUUAUGUUUCAAAUAAUUUAUUGCCGUAGGAUGGGACUGCGGCCUAUCAGUUUGUUGGUGAGGUAAUGGCCCACCAAGACUAUUACAGGUACGGGCUCUGAGAGGAGUAGCCCGGAGAUGGGUACUGAGACACGGACCCAGGCCCUAUGGGGCGCAGCAGGCGAGAAAACUUUGCAAUGUGCGAAAGCACGACAAGGUUAAUCCGAGUGGUUUCUGCUAAAGGAACCUUUUGUCAGUCCUAGAAACACUGGUGAAUAAGGGGUGGGCAAGUUCUGGUGUCAGCCGCCGCGGUAAAACCAGCACCUCAAGUGGUCAGGAUGAUUAUUGGGCCUAAAGCAUCCGUAGCCUGCUUUGUAAGUUUUCGGUUAAAUCCAUACGCUCAACGUAUGGGCUGCCGGGAAUACUGCAAAGCUAGGGAGUGGGAGAGGUAGACGGUACUCGGUAGGAAGGGGUAAAAUCCUUUGAUCUAUUGAUGACCACCUGUGGCGAAGGCGGUCUACCAGAACACGUCCGACGGUGAGGGAUGAAAGCUGGGGGAGCAAACCGGAUUAGAUACCCGGGUAGUCCCAGCUGUAAACUAUGCAAACUCAGUGAUGCAUUGGCUUGAUGCCAAUGCAGUGCUGCAGGGAAGCCGUUAAGUUUGCCGCCUGGGAAGUACGUACGCAAGUAUGAAACUUAAAGGAAUUGGCGGGA